RNAcentral lists this ribosomal RNA (253 nucleotides) under uncultured bacterium. Its description in RNAcentral is "partial 16S ribosomal RNA". It matches the Rfam family "Bacterial small subunit ribosomal RNA", at positions 524 to 776 of the family's 1533-position model. The record is from RNAcentral.
UACGUAGGGACCAAGCGUUGUUCGGAUUUACUGGGCGUAAAGGGCGCGUAGGCGGCAUAUUAAGUCAGCUGUGAAAUCUCCGAGCUUAACUCGGAACUGUCAGCUGAUACUGAUGUGCUAGAGUGCAGAAGGGGCAAUCGGAAUUCUUGGUGUAGCGGUGAAAUGCGUAGAUAUCAAGAGGAACACCGGUGGCGAAGGCGGGUCUCUGGGCCGAUACUGACGCUGAGGAGCGAAAGCGUGGGGAGCGAACAGG